This 62-nucleotide transfer RNA is filed under the name Torleya mikhaili. RNAcentral describes it as "tRNA-Glu". It matches the Rfam family "tRNA". Rfam says of the family: Transfer RNA (tRNA) molecules are approximately 80 nucleotides in length. Lineage: Eukaryota; Metazoa; Arthropoda; Insecta; Ephemeroptera; Ephemerellidae. The record is from RNAcentral.
GUUUAUAUAGUUUAUUAAAACAUUACAUUUUCACUGUAAAGAUAAGUUAUACUUUAUAAAUA